This is a long non-coding RNA of Eufriesea mexicana, 5181 nucleotides long. RefSeq lists it as uncharacterized. Lineage: Eukaryota; Metazoa; Arthropoda; Insecta; Hymenoptera; Apidae. The record is from RefSeq and is a predicted model, not a curated record. The transcript has 13 exons.
UCGAGGGCGUAUCGCUGCGCGUUAUUUCAAUUUGCAUGGUGGCGGGUAAUCGCGUUCCCAGAACUAAUUUAGCCGUAUCGGACGGGGGACACGGUCCGUGAUCGUAAGCCAGAUAACAUUGCAGAUGAUUAUCGGACGGCGCGAUUUCUUGCCGGCCGGAAACCACGUUCUACCGUGUACGCCAUUGUAUGGUAAUCGCCCUUCACGAAAUCUGAAGUGGAAAAAAGGAACGAAAAGUGGGAGAAGUCAUUGCGCAAUUCAUCGUCGGUCUUCCCCUCUGUCUGCUUCCAUUCAUACGCAGGAGUCAUAGAGAGAGAGAGAGAGAGAGAGAGAGAGAGAGAGAGACAGCGAGAGCAACGCUACGACGCACGUGGGAUAUAGCAACCGGAGAUAACGCUUCCAGAUUCUCAUUCGAUUGCGCCACAAAUUAAAAGAAUUAAUGAGCAACGUCGUGGCUCGUGACGACAGCUGCUAUAGCGUUCGAGAGUCGAGAGGGUAAUUGCGUUAGUCUUGACGUUUAUUUUACGACUGCCUUUCGUGCUCGGUUAACCCGGACGUGUAACAAUCGUUUUCGUCGGAACACGCGGAAAGAGUUAUCGGCGAAAUGAACGGGGCAGUUUUCAUCUCAAGGUCAAUUCGGUCAGCCUCACCUCCAAGAGGAUCGAGGAUGGUUGCGAGCAAGAGGAUCGAGAAAGUCGAGCAAUCGUAAUAGCGAGCUGUCAAGUUCGAUUGUCUAGGACAGCGAAUGGCAUUGGGAUAACUGUUCGGCGGGAAAGAAAGGCGAAUAGAAAAUAUUUGAAUUUCUUUUAGGCGGUUUCGCGUCACAGCGCUACCACAAGAAGCUUUUUACCACGGCGAUCCAAUUGAUUCCUGGAAGCUUCGAAAGAGCAUCGAGGAGAUGAUUAUUUGCUCCAGCAGCGAUAACCGGUGUCAAUUCUUUCGACUUUGUUGGCUGGUCCGCGUUAAGAAAGCCGCGCUGAUUACCACGGCUGGAUUCCCCGAGCAGGUUGGACGGGUAGCAUUCGCAGCAGUGGUCCAAACGCUGCAAGCUCCCGAGAGACUGUUCACCGGGAAGGAAGCUAUCCUGGAGGGUCAGCGUUUCCUCGCACGGUUCUCGACCUCCGAUCGAACCCGUUCCGAUGUCGCUGUUACACGGCCACCCGGCCGCAUAGAGAUUUCGAUACACGUGGGCUGACGGUUUUGUGGAGGCCAGAACGAUGAAUUUCGUGGCGACCGAGACGUUUCGAAGGCGGAGGAAGAAGGUGGCAGCUCCGCAUGGUCCUUUUGCGUCACAAAAAGAUCCUCCAGGUCGUGUUUCGCGAUUCGUCAUCGCGAUGCUUCGUGGAUCCUCCGGAUCCUCGAUAUCGGACCGAUCUAAUCGACGCCUCAUUAAGGAUCUACCAACGGCGCUGGUCAACGUGCAGCGUUGGCCGCAGUGGUUCUCAUUGCCAGCUCGGCUGCUCGUCGCUGUUGAAGGAAUUCCAGAGAGCCGUGCGACUAGCCUCGUCUCUAAUGAGAAAGCUGUCCACCGGCCGCUUCCACGCGAGCUCGAAAGCGGCCACCUUUCCUCGUCCUUCCGACCAGUGUGAACGCUCGGCCACCUACCAGAUGAUUCAUGCUCAUGCCCAUCCACGUGGAAAACGAGCCGAGGAGAUCCAGCGCGAUCGGCGCGCGCGGAUACGCGCGUGUACAGCGCCUGUGACACGGAUCCGGUCGACGACGGAGCCGCCUUUUCCCCUCGGGCACCGCGUAACAGGCCCUGCCAUCCGGGAAACUUUGGAAAAACGCGUCUUUCGAACGCGCACCGUUGAAACUACUCGGGUCGAGGCUGGGUCGUUACGGUGGCUUGAUACGCCAAGAGAUACUGAUUAGUGCGACGAGCAAUUAGUCGCGAUGACGGUAAUGUUUCCUUAUUGUCGCGAACGCCACGAGGACAAGCUGAUGGCAGCUGCGCUAGAUUACAGGGUGGCCGCUUGUCUGCGUGAUUACCUAGAUCGGUCGGAAGUUGGAUCGGUUAACGAUGGCCGGAGCGGUCGCGGCGGGACAAAAUGGCGCGGAACAGGGUCGAGGACAUAGCCUCGGGACAAGCAGCGUUCGAUUCUUUCAGUGGCGAGCGCAUCGCUGGGAUUCCUGUUGAAUGGAAUUCCUCGAUGCAUCCUGCGAGGUCGGGUUUCGUUACCGAGUUACGAACGCGAAGGUCGCCGCUUCUCGUCUCGAGGAUACGCUUUGAAUCAUCGACAUCGGGUAUUGAAUCAGCGUUGCAUUCGACCGCUGACGAAGCUGACUUUAACGCUUGCGAAACGUUGCAAUAUUUCAUCCACUGGAUAAUCAGGUGCUUUCAUUUGGUCGCAUCCGACGGCCAACGAAAUACUUCUGUUGGAACGCAGCGUGGUCCGGAACGUAAGACACGAACAAGCCAUUUUAAUUCAACAACCAACCAUUCACCAACACCUGGACAAGCUUCCUGUCCGGCGAGGAAACCCGUAUACACUCGGGACGAGUCCGAACCGGUGGUCGUUUGACGUCGAAUUACACGAAAACAUCGCGGCAGCCUGUUGCUCCGAGCGAUCUCGGGCCUUGGAGGGAUCGACGAUCGUCCCUGGUCGUCUUUUUGAUCGGCGCGUUGCGUCCAGCGUCCCAGGGGCGGUCGUGUCUCGUCAACGGGCCACCGGGAUGGCCGGUCGAGAGGUAACGACCCGCGGGGUCACAGGAGGAUCCUGCCGAGCGCGAGGCAUUCGCGACGAGCGUUGCUCCACGUCGAGGGGGAGAGCUCGCGCACGCCGGAGUCGCGCCUCGAAGAUCGUGGACGAGCGCGGAGGAAGAUUCGGCGGCCGAUCGUUGCGGAGGGAGGAAAAAGGAGAUGUUCGGCGAAGAUUCGAUCGGUGGUCCCGGUUCUGACCGUCUGUCCGUGGCUGUUCGCCGAGGGAUCGUCGACUAAGAAGGCCCGACCUGGCCAGGAUCACCCUCGUGCUCUCGUGCGCCGCGCGUAACCCUGUCUUUCUGCGUGGCCCAUGGUAGUCGUGUGACCGUGUGUUGGUAGGCGAGGAGAAGUUCCGUGUGCCGUGGCGUACCUUGAAUGGUAGGGAGGGGAAGGUAAGGUGCUAUGCGAAGGAGGACAGACGUCUCGCGAUCGGCAGAGGUUAGAGAGAGAAAGGGCCAGAGAGCGAAAGAGGAGGAGAAGGAAACGCGACGGUGGAACAGGUAGAAAAGAGGCGGACAAAGGACGACUCGUACGAGGGGAAGGGAGAAGAAAGAUCGGCAGCUCUCGAAGAGAUGCCAGAGUUCUCUCUCUGUGUUCGAAGGAGAGUGGACGCUGGCAAGCCUCGAUGGACCACCUACCGUUCCUGAUCCGAUCUUCGUAACGCUCGUCCGUCUGUCCGUCUGUCCGUCCGUUCGUUCGUUCGUUGGUUCGUUCGUUUGUGUCUCGCGCGUGGGGUACUCCUUUGCUCGGCGUCGCCCCGGCCCCGCUGUUCCCAUCAAUAACGCUUAUAAUGUCUAAUUAAUCACGAAUUAUCUAGAUCCUGGGGCUGAAAAUCGGAGAAAGCCGGCACGUCGACGCGGAUUGGCGGGCCGUGCCGACCCGGGUCGCGGAUGUGUCAAUAGAGGUUACGGAGUAGAGGGUACCCUGGCAGAAAUUCGUGUACGCUAUUUGUCGAGUCGGCCAGUGGAACGAUGAAAUCGUCGACCAGAGACGGCCGGCCACUUUCCAGCCGCGUUAUGUAAGCGAUUAAUUAAUCGUCUCGUUAAGAGGCCACGACGCGUUGGGUACAGCGCCGGGAUUAGCCCCUCGAAUCAUUAAUUUUCCCGUAUUUAAACGCGCCUCGUUUCGUGGAUUACCUGCCUUUUCCAGCCCGGCCACGAAUGAUUUACGAGCGUCUCGCCGGUGAAGUCGAUUGAAUCGAAUUCGAGUGGCCGAUGAACACGUAUCUAACCGUGGGCACCGGUGGAAUCAUUGUUCGACCUUACCUACGCCUCCCUCGCCAUCCACCUUCCACCUCGGAUGGAUAUUCACGAGAGGUAGAACGACCGGCUGACUCGAUGUGCAACAAUAAGCGCCACUGCGUGCCGCGUUUGUAGCCAACAAGCCUGUUCACCGUGGCCAAUUCCCGCUGAAUGAUAACACGUAGGAGGAUGCCUACGCGGUACACGCCGCUCUUAGACGUUCACCAGACGACAGGCUAAUCCCCGACCGGCCAGGGCCUGUCCCGUCGCUUUCUGCGAACAAAAGCCACGGAAAUUCGUAGUCGUAUCCCUGUCGCGAUUCCUUUUAUUCGCCCGGUCCCGGUAUAAUUACGUUGCCGUUUAAUCGAAUUCGCCUUACCGUCGUCACGGUCUACGAUGCACCGGGGUUUAACCGAUUAAUGAAGCAGCGUUAUAGGUGAAACACAGCUUUAUCUGGAAUAUCGUUCGCUACCCUGCGUCGUGCUUUAGGUUUUCAGCGACGAGUGGAAGGAAUUGAUUUACGAGGGUUACUCGAGAAUUAUCCACUUCUGAAAUCGGACGGGCGUAUAAUUUCGUGCUAUUACACGACCUCGCACCUCGACUCGGGGAAAAGUACAUUUAAAAAGGAUCCUAAUCGUCGAGGAUUAAUCGCGAUGGAGGAAAUCCUGUCGGAACCUUGGUCUCGACCGAUCUCUAACCCCGAAUUCCUGCGUCGAGACGUAUCCCGUGCAACGGCUCGGCUGUGAAUCGUACCGAGGCAUCGGAUUCGUCAUCGCGGGGUAGAAGAAAAGAAUCGGAAUUGGCAUUCGGGAUCACGCUAGGCGGUCCAAGAAGGCCGUUCCCGUGCCUAACACCGUGGAAUCGACGCAACACGAAAGGCGGAUUGCUUGGCUGCUCCCCGGCCGCGUCCGUUGCGCUGUCUUGUGUUCGGCCAACGGAGGUGACGAUAAAAAGGGAGCAACGAGAGGGAACGAAGAAAACGGGAAGAAAAAGGGAAGCCCGGGGAGCAAAAUCGACGAAGAAAAAGGAGGAUCGAGACGAGAAGAAAACGUGACGUCACUAGAAAUAACAUCCGAAUUCCUAUCGGUAGGCAUCUUGUACCGACGCCAGCCUACUCGCGGGACCUGACGCCAUCUUGGACGCGCACUAGGUUAGUUCUAGAAUAUUCUAACAUAGUAAUAGGAUAAGCUACGCUGUUACUCUUUUGUCUUAUAUUAAAUACUUAAAACAAAUUCUAUA